GCAGGGUUUUACACGACACACAAAUGUGUGUCCAGUACGCACAAAUGUAGAGAAUGGAUGCAGAAAAAACAUUCACCGCUAUGACUCGGUAAGA
Haliotis rubra (blacklip abalone) is the source of this 94-nucleotide long non-coding RNA. RefSeq lists it as uncharacterized. Lineage: Eukaryota; Metazoa; Mollusca; Gastropoda; Lepetellida; Haliotidae. The record is from RefSeq and is a predicted model, not a curated record. The transcript has 3 exons.